RNAcentral lists this ribosomal RNA (430 nucleotides) under Theileria sp. Its description in RNAcentral is "SSU rRNA". It matches the Rfam family "Eukaryotic small subunit ribosomal RNA", at positions 562 to 1029 of the family's 1831-position model. The record is from RNAcentral. Lineage: Eukaryota; Apicomplexa; Aconoidasida; Piroplasmida; Theileriidae.
UGGUGCCAGCAGCCGCGGUAAUUCCAGCUCCAAUAGCGUAUAUUAAAAUUGUUGCAGUUAAAAAGCUCGUAGUUGAAUUUCUGCUGCAUUGCUUGUGUCCCUCUGGGGUCUGUGCAUGUGGCUUUUUUCGGACGGAGUUUCUUUGUCUGAAUGUUUACUUUGAGAAAAUUAGAGUGCUCAAAGCAGGCUUUCGCCUUGAAUAGUUUAGCAUGGAAUAAUAAAGUAGGACUUUGGUUCUAUUUUGUUGGUUUUAGGUACCAAAGUAAUGGUUAAUAGGAACAGUUGGGGGCAUUCGUAUUUAACUGUCAGAGGUGAAAUUCUUAGAUUUGUUAAAGACGAACUACUGCGAAAGCAUUUGCCAAGGAUGUUUUCAUUAAUCAAGAACGAAAGUUAGGGGAUCGAAGACGAUCAGAUACCGUCGUAGUCCUAA